GAUGUAGUAGCCACUGGGCAUGUCCGUCCGUUCCGUUGCGCCGUUUCCACUGAUGAAAGAGGAGCAGAUGCGACACAAGUACUAUACGCGCGCACGAUCUGUGACGUCAUGGUUUCCUUAGCAACCAUGGCUGAAACAACGGAGGACGGUGAAAUCAACAGGGAUGAAAAACAAGUUGUUGGACUUGUUGAAGACUUGAAACGCUCAAAUGCAGUGCUACAAGCAGAGAUCGACAUGUUUGAGCGAUAUAUUACUGGGCUGGACCUGCAGCCUCAAUCGGAGAAUUAUGAAACAUCAUCACAGAUGGAAAUAGCAACGAGUCCAGGAAGGAAAACUAAAGCAAAACAACAGCUCCUGACACUGGAACAGAAAUGUGAUGUCGCCAAAAGCAUGCAUAAACAGAUGACUGAGGAUCUGAAGAGAGCAAAAGACCUUUCAGAAAGAGAGCUGGACAAUUACAAGGCAACUCUGGAAGAAGCUGAUAUCCACUUGGCGGAGGUUAAAAAAGAAUGUUGCCAGUUUGAUCGUGACAUUGGUAAAGCACUGCGGGAUAAAAAGAGUGUGACGAUGAGUGCUGAGAAGGUCAUCAGAUACAUUGAGGACAAAGUAAAGGCCAAGGAGAGCUUGAUUGAGAAGUUGCAUCAGAAGAAUGCAGCACUCCUCGCAUACAAGAAAAAACUACAAAUCCAAUUGAAACAACAAGAGGAGAUGGGUGAAGGCCUGACAGCUUUGGACUUUGAGCAGCUCAAGUUUGGGAACAUGAAAUGUAGGAAGCUUCUGGAUGAGCAAAACCUCAGACGUGUGGAACUCAAAUUACUCACAGGGAAGACCCUGCAUGUCUUGAAUUCCAAUAAGGAGAAGCUUCAGACCUUGACACAUGAGUCAGACAUGCUGAGCAGUGACACAGCUUUACGGGCGAAAUUACUGAUGAAGUUUGAGGAGGAGACCAAGCAAGCAGAGGAGGUCAGGAUAAUGAAAUUCCUUAUAUGCACUUCAGAACCCAACGUCAUGUGGUACUCCACUGGCCGAAAGCCAUACAUUUUAUUUCCUGACAGGAACGAAACAAAGCAGAGGUUCUGAACAGGAAGUUGAGGGCCCAGUUGACCGAUUUUCACGUACCACAUGUACUACAAUACAUCAAAGUUAAGGAGUCUCAUGUUCAGCUGAAGAAGAGUGUUAAAGAAUGGGAACGCAAGGUGGAAAUUGCAGAGAUGGCACUAAAAACAUACUCAAAAUCCUGGGACAAGCUUCGGAUCACUGCUGGAGCCAGAACAGUUCCUACACGAUAUGCAGCCGUAGAUGCUGGAUUGUAUGGAUUCUGAAACAACAAAAACUAAACACGUCCUAAAUAAUCUCAAUACCCAAGAUGAGGUCAAAGUAAACCACAUAUUUUAAAACAAAUGCAUCAAUAUGCAGAAAAAUAAAAUGAACAUAAAAAUG
RNA transcript from Carassius auratus (goldfish), 1440 nucleotides. It is a transcript of the gene named cilia and flagella associated protein 263, with no coding region annotated. NCBI's taxonomy places the organism in Eukaryota, Metazoa, Chordata, Actinopteri, Cypriniformes, Cyprinidae. The record is from RefSeq and is a predicted model, not a curated record. The transcript is spliced from 9 exons.